UACGGGGGGGGCAAGCGUUGUUCGGAAUUACUGGGCGUAAAGGGUCUGUAGGUGGCUUGCUAAGUCAGACGUGAAAUCCCUCAGCUUAACUGGGGAACUGCGUCUGAGACUGGCGAGCUUGAGGGCAGGAGAGGAACGCGGAAUUCCAGGUGUAGCGGUGAAAUGCGUAGAUAUCUGGAGGAACACCGGUGGCGAAGGCGGCGUUCUGGACUGCAUCUGACACUGAAAGACGAACGCCAGGGGAGCAAACGGG
RNAcentral lists this ribosomal RNA (253 nucleotides) under uncultured bacterium. RNAcentral describes it as "partial 16S ribosomal RNA". It matches the Rfam family "Bacterial small subunit ribosomal RNA", at positions 524 to 776 of the family's 1533-position model. The record is from RNAcentral.